GAGUUUGAUCCUGGCUCAGGAUGAACGCUGGCGGCGUGCCUAACACAUGCAAGUCGAACGGAUCCAUAUUGAAACCUAGUGAUGUAUGGAUUAGUGGCGGACGGGUGAGUAACGCGUGGAUAACCUGCCGUAUACAGGGGAUAACACUUAGAAAUAGGUGCUAAUACCGCAUAAGCGCACGGUUCCGCAUGGAACAGUGUGAAAAACUCCGGUGGUAUACGAUGGAUCCGCGUCUGAUUAGCCAGUUGGCGGGGUAACGGCCCACCAAAGCGACGAUCAGUAGCCGGCCUGAGAGGGUGAACGGCCACAUUGGGACUGAGACACGGCCCAAACUCCUACGGGAGGCAGCAGUGGGGAAUAUUGGACAAUGGGGGGAACCCUGAUCCAGCGACGCCGCGUGAGUGAAGAAGUAUUUCGGUAUGUAAAGCUCUAUCAGCAGGGAAGAAGAAAUGACGGUACCUGACUAAGAAGCCCGGCUAACUACGUGCCAGCAG
This 494-nucleotide ribosomal RNA is filed under the name uncultured microorganism. Its description in RNAcentral is "bacterial SSU rRNA". It matches the Rfam family "Bacterial small subunit ribosomal RNA", at positions 9 to 514 of the family's 1533-position model. The record is from RNAcentral.